This 722-nucleotide long non-coding RNA is filed under the name Eucalyptus grandis. RNAcentral describes it as "long non-coding RNA (EGRA_LNC000770)". Lineage: Eukaryota; Viridiplantae; Streptophyta; Magnoliopsida; Myrtales; Myrtaceae. The record is from RNAcentral.
GUUCAUGUAUCAAUCGAUGAAUUUCAUUAUGGUCUGAAGCACAUUCCAAGACUCGGGGGAAGCACUUCCACAUUGGAUAAGCACAAACUAAUUCAGCUGAACAAAAAUCAACACUUACCCAUAUUAAGGGCAAUUUUGAUAACCACUAAGAGUGUUCAAACGACAAAGCAAGGAUAAGAAUUCGCAGGCAACAACAAAACCCUGACUUAACACUGAAUAGGAUGGAGUGUGACCUGAGCGCGCCAUGAGUUCUAUCAUUUCUCCCACCGAUCACUUGUUUUGAUUGAGCCGUGCUGCCGUCGCCACUGAGGCCACCACCGAGCCUCGUUCCUCAUCUCAGCACUGCCCACUUCCUCUGUGUCUCGACGUGAUGCCGGUUUAUCUGAUGGCAAUCUAGAAGUUGCAUCCUGCAAGAGAAUUGUGGUCACACAUUGUGUGUACCCUAAUAACACGGCUUGCAACAUAAGCAAACAGAGUCAAUAAGCACUAAGACCAUGCUAGAUGAAUACCUGAGAACAUUAUCAGAAAACCAUCCCUCCCGUACCAAGCAUAAACUCGCGCGUGGGAGGCUACUGAACUGCGGCACCGCUUCAUGCUAAAGAAGGAAGCAUAACCUAGAUAACGAAAAUGCCAGAAUAUUGAGGUUGCCCUGUCGGUCAUACGUGUAGGAGCGCGCGCGAGAGAGUGAGUUAGAUCCAGUGGCUAAUAUAGGAAUAUGACGG